GUAGUCUCGCACAGAUGCAUAUCAAUAAGCGGAGGAAAAGAAACUAACAAGGAUUCCCCUAGUAACGGCGAGUGAAGCGGGAAGAGCUCAAAUUUGAAAUCUUAAAGGGUUUCCCUUUACGAAUUGUAGUUUAAAGAAGUGUUUUCUGUUGAGGUUUUGGUAAAAGUUCUUUGGAAUAGGACAUCAUAGAGGGUGAGAAUCCCGUAUUUGACCCUUACUUUCAACUUUGUGAUACACUUUCAAAGAGUCGGAUUGUUUGGGAAUGCAGUCCAAAAUGGGUGGUAAAUUUCAUCUAAAGCUAAAGUAUUGGCGAGAGACCGAUAGCGAACAAGUACCGUGAGGGAAAGAUGAAAAGAACUUUGAAACGAGAGUUAAACAGUACGUGAAAUUGUCAAAAGGGAAGCGUUUGACACCAGUGUUGUUUUUCUGAAAAUCAAUUAAAGAACUGUUUAUGCUAAGUUGUUUAGACUUUAUCAGCUAUCUGUUUAGUUUUGAGCUUUUCUUUAAUGCACUUUUCAGUUAACAAGUCAACAUCAAUUUCUUUUGCUGUAAAAAAGCUUGAGGAAGGUGGCUUGAGAUUCGUCUUAAGUGUUUAUAGCCUCUUGCCUAUGCAGUCGGAGAGAUUGAGGUCUGCAGCGUAGAUCCUUCGGGGCUAAAUGCAUUUGUGCUAAGUUAUAGCAUUUUAUAGACAACUUGUUGACUAUGAUUUGUCUUGUAGCUUACUCGCUUAUGUUAUUUUACCUACGCUUAGGAUGUUGAUCUGUAGUGCGUGCGC
This 775-nucleotide ribosomal RNA is filed under the name uncultured Neocallimastigales. Its description in RNAcentral is "partial large subunit ribosomal RNA". It matches the Rfam family "Eukaryotic large subunit ribosomal RNA", at positions 24 to 646 of the family's 3401-position model. Lineage: Eukaryota; Fungi; Neocallimastigomycota; Neocallimastigomycetes; Neocallimastigales. The record is from RNAcentral.